RNAcentral lists this long non-coding RNA (3775 nucleotides) under Lathyrus oleraceus (garden pea). Its description in RNAcentral is "Pisum sativum (pea) long non-coding RNA (PSAT_LNC040113)". Lineage: Eukaryota; Viridiplantae; Streptophyta; Magnoliopsida; Fabales; Fabaceae. The record is from RNAcentral.
UUGUAAUAUGUAUAUUUACAUAUGAAAAUGAGAAAUACUAGGUUUUAAUUCUUGUAAAUAUAAUCUCAUUAUAUAAUGAGGUUGUAAAUAUGAUAAUUACAUAUGAAAAUGGGAAAUACUAGGUUAAUUCUUGUAAAUAUAAUCUCAUUAUAUAAUGAGUUGUAAUAUGUUUAUUUACAUAUGAAAUAGAAAGACUAAGUUUAAUCUUGUAAAUAUAAUCUCAUUUAUAUAAUGAGGUUGUCAUAUGCAUAUUAACAUAUGAAAAUGAGAAAUACUAGGUUUUAAUUCUUGUAAAUAUAAUCUCAUUUAUAUAAUGAGGUUGUAAAUAUGUAUAUUAACAUAUGAAAACGAGAAAUACUAGGUUUUAUUUCUUAUAAAUAUAAUCUCAUUUAUAUAAUGAGGUUGUAAAUAUGUAUAUUUACAUAUGAAAAUGAGAAAUACUAGGUUUUAAUUCUUGUAAAUAUAAUCUCAUUUGUAUAAUGAGGUUUUAAAUAUGUAUAUUUACAUAUGAAAAUGAGAAAUACUAGGUUUUAAUUCUUGUAAAUAUAAUCUCAUUUAUAUAAUGAGGUUGUCAUAUGCAUAUUCACAUAUGAAAAUGAGAAAUAGUAGGUUUUAAUUCUUGUAAAUAUAAUCUCAUUUAUAUAAUGAGGUUGUAAAUAUUUAUAUUUACAUAUGAAAAUGAAAAAUACUAGGUUUUAAUUCUUCUAAAUAUAUUCUUGUAAAUAUAAUCUCAUUUAUAUAAUGAGGUUGUCAUAUGCAUAUUAACAUAUGAAAAUGAGAAAGACUAGGUUUUAAUUCUUGUAAAUAUAAUCUCAUUUAUAUAAUGAGGUUGUCAUAUGCAAAUUAACAUAUCAAAAUGAGAAAUACUAGGUUUUAAUUCUUGUAAAUAUAAUCUCAUUUAUAUAAGGAGGUUGUCAUAUGCAUAUUAACAUAUGAAAAUGAGAAAGACUAGGUUUUAAUUCUUGUAAAUAUAUUCCCAUUUAUAUAAUGAGGUUGUAAAUAUGUAUAUUAACAUAUGAAAAUGAGAAAUACUAGGUUUUAAUUCUUGUAAAUAUAAUCUCAUUUAUAUAAUGAGGUUGUCAUAUGCAUAUUAACAUAUGAAAAUAAGAAAGACUAGGUUUUAAUUCUUGUAAAUAAUCUCAUUUAUAUAAUGAGUUUGUCAUAUGCAUAUUAACAUUUGAAAAUGAGAAAAACUAGUUUUAAUUCUUGUAAAUAUAAUCUCAUUUAUAUAAUGAGGUUGUAAUAUGUAUAUUACAUAUGAAAAUGAGAAUACUAGGUUUUAAUUCUUGUAAUAAUAAUCUUUAUAUAAAUGAGGUUGUAAUAGUAUAUUUACAUAUGAAAAUGAGAAACUAGUUUUAAUUCUUGUAAAUAUAAUUCUUAUAUAAAUGAGGUUUUAAAUAUGUAUAUUUACAUAUAAAAUGAGAAAGACUAGGUUUUAAUUCUUGUAAAUAUAAUCUCAUUAAUAUAAUGAGUUGUCAUAUGCAUAUUAAUAUAAAAUGAGAAUACUAGGUUUUAAUUCUUGUAAAUAUAAUUCAUUAUAUAAUGAGGUUGUAAAUAUAUAUUUACAUAUGAAAAUGAGAAAACUAGGUUUUAAUUCUUGUAAAAUAUAUCUCAUUAUAUAAUGAGGUUGUAAUAUGUAUAUUUACAUAUGAAAAUGAGAAAACUAGGUUUUAAUUCUUGUAAAUAUAAUCUCAUUAUAAUGAGGUUGUAAUAUGAUAUUACAUAUGAAAAUGAGAAAUACUAGGUUUUAAUUCUUUGAAAUAUAAUCUCAUUUAUAUAAUGAGGUUUAAUAUGAUAUUACAUAUGAAAAUGAAGAAUACUAGGUUUUAAUUCUAAAUAUAUUCUCAUUUAUAUAAUGAGGUUGAUAUAUAUUAACAUAUGAAAUGAGAAAGACUAGUUUUAAUUCUUGUAAAUAUAUCUCAUUUAUAUAAUGAGGUUGUAUGUAUUAACAUAUGAAAUGAGAAAACUAGGUUUUAAUUCUUGUAAAUAUAAUCUCAUUUAUAUAAUGAGGUUGUAAUAUGUAUAUUACAUAUGAAAUGAGAAGACUAGGUUUUAAUUCUUGUAAAUAUAAUCUCAUUUAUAUAAUGAGUUGUCAUAUGCAUAUUAACAUUGAAAAGAGAAAACUAGUUUUAAUUCUUGUAAAUAUAAUCUCAUUUAUAUAAUGAGGUUGUUAUGAUUUAUUACAUAUGAAAAUGAGAAAUAUAGGUUUUAAUUCUUGUAAAUAUAAUCUCAUUUAUAUAAUGAGGUUGUAUAUGAUAUUACAAUAUGAAAAUGAGAAAACAGGUUUAAUUCUUGUAAAUAAUCUCUUAUAUAAUGAGGUUGUAAUAUGUAUAUUUACAUAUGAAAAUGAGAAACUAGGUUUUAAUUCUUGUAAAUUAAUCUCAUUUAUAUAAUGAGGUAUAUAUAUUACAUAUGAAAAUGAGAAAGACUAGGUUUUAAUUCUUGUAAAUAUAAUCUCAUUUAUAUAAUGAGGUUGUAAUAUGUAUAUUUACAUAUGAAAAUGAGAAAGACUAGGUUUAUUCUUGUAAAUAUAAUCUCAUUAUAUAAUGAGGUUGUAAUAUGCAUAUUAACAUAUGAAAAUGAGAAAGACUAGGUUUUAUUCUUGUAAUAAAUCUCUUUAUAUAAUGAGGUUGUAAUAUGUAUAUUUACAUAUGAAAAUGAGAAAACUAGGUUUUAAUUCUUGUAAAUAUAAUCUCUUAUAUAUGAGGUUGUAAAUAUGUAUAUUAACAUAUGAAAAUGAGAAAUACUAGGUUUAAUUCUUGUAAAUAUAAUCUCAUUAUAUAUAUGAGGUGUAAUAUGUAUAUUUACAUAUGAAAUGAAAACUAUGUUUAAUUCUUGUAAAUAUAAUCUCUUAUAUAAUGGGUUGUAAUAUGUAUAUUAACAUAUGAAAAUGAGAAAUACUAGGUUUAUUCGGUAAAUAUAAUCUCUUAUAUAAUGAGGUUUUAAAUAUGUAUAUUUACAUAUAAAAAUGAGAAAACUAGGUUUAAUUCUUGUAAAUAUAAUCUCAUUUAUAUAAUGAGGUUGUAUAUGAUAUUAACAUAUGAAAAUGAGAAAUACUAGGUUUAAUUCUUGUAAUAUAAUCUCAUUUUAUAAUGAGGUUUAUAGAGUAUAUUACAUAUGAAAAUGAGAAAGAUAGGUUUUAAUUCUUGUAAAUAUAAUCUAUAUUAUAUAAUGAGGUUGUAAAUAUGUAUUAUACAUAUGAAAAUGAGAAAGACUAGGUUUAUUCUUGUAAUAUAAUCUCAUUUAUAUAAUGAGGUUGUAUGUGCAUAUUAACAUAUGAAAAUGAGAAAUACUAGGUUUUAAUUCUUGUAAAUAUAAUCUCAUUAUAUAAUGAGGUUUAAUAUGUAUAUUUACAUAUAAAAUGAGAAAGUAGGUUUAUAAUUCUGUAACAUUAAUCCAUUUAUAUAAUGAGGUUGUAAAUAUGUAUAUUUACAUAUGAAAAUGAGAAAUACUAGGUUUUAAUUCUUGUAAAUAUAAUCUCAUUUAUAUAAUGAGGUUGUAAAUAUGUAUAUUUACAUAUGAAAAAGUGAAAUACUAGGUUUUAAUUCUUGUAAAUAUAAUCUCAUUUAAAUAAUGAGGUUGUAAAUAUGUAUAUUUACAUAUGAAAGUGAGAAAUACUAGGUUUUAAUUCUUGUAAAUAUAAUCUCAUGUAUAUAAUGAGGUUGUCUUAUGCAUAUUAACAUAUGAAAAUGAGAAAUACUUGGUUUUAAUUCUUGUAAAUAUAAUCUCAUGUAUAUAAUGAGGUUGUAAAUAUGUAUAUUUACAUAUGAAAAUG